UAAUACGUAGGGUGCAAGCGUUGUUCGGAAUUAUUGGGCGUAAAGCGCGUGUAGGUUGUCUAUUAAGUCGGGUGUGAAAUCCCUAGGCUCAACCAAGGAAGUGCAUCCGAAACUAAUAGACUAGAAGAUGGUAGAGGAAGGUGGAAUUCCAAAAGUAGAGGUGAAAUUCGUAGAUAUUUGGAGGAAUACCGGUGGCGAAGGCGGCCUUCUGGACCAUUCUUGACACUGAGACGCGAAAGCGUGGGUAGCAAACAGGAUUAGAUACCCUGGUAGUCCACGCCGUAAACGAUGGGUACUAGGUGUUGCGGGAAUUGACCCCUGCAGUGCCGACGCUAACGCAUUAAGUACCCCGCCUGGGAAGUACGGCCGCAAGGUUA
RNAcentral lists this ribosomal RNA (377 nucleotides) under uncultured bacterium. RNAcentral describes it as "bacterial SSU rRNA". It matches the Rfam family "Bacterial small subunit ribosomal RNA", at positions 521 to 896 of the family's 1533-position model. The record is from RNAcentral.